AGAACGCAGACAAACUCAGUUUUAGGCUCAAAAAGCAUGAACAGCUCUGCUGAUUUGACAUCCAAUUUCCUAUUUCUGCGUGUGGAGUGAGCCAAAACAGAUGUUUUUCGUUGUGGUAAAAGUGGCGUCAAUGUUAAUGUUGACGCCACUUGGCAUUUUUGAGCCUAGGAUCUCAAAAAUAAGGCAUGGAAUUCCAAAGAAAGUCGCUGCCUUAAGCACUACCUAAGGAAAGUAUCAAAAAAUACUAAGUUU
RNAcentral lists this non-coding RNA (252 nucleotides) under Streptococcus pyogenes. Its description in RNAcentral is "SSRC8_2". It matches the Rfam family "Streptococcus sRNA 8", at positions 23 to 257 of the family's 281-position model. The record is from RNAcentral. Lineage: Bacteria; Bacillati; Bacillota; Bacilli; Lactobacillales; Streptococcaceae. RNAcentral also lists the same sequence under 1 other name.